CCUACGGGGAGGCAGCAGUGGGGAUUAUUGGGCAAUGGGCGCACGCCUGACCCAGCAACGCCGCGUGAAGGAAGAAGGUUUCCGUGCUUUAAACUUCUUUUGCCAGGGAGGAGUAGAAGACGGUACCUGACGAAUCAGCGACGGCUAACUACGUGCCAGCAGCCGCGGUAAUACGUAGGUGGCAAGCGUUGUCCGGAUUUACUGGGUGUAAAGGGCGUGUAGACGGGUUGACAAUGCAGGUGUGAACUCCUGCGGCUUAACCGCAGAACUGCAUUUGAAACUGUGUAUCUUGAGUACUGGAGAGGCAAAUGGAAGUCCUAGUGUAGCGGUGAAAUGCGUAGAUAUUAGGAGGAACACCAGUGGCGAAGGCGGUCUGCUGGACAGCAACUGACGGUGAGGCGCGAAAGCGUGGGGAGCAAACAGGAUUAGAUACCCGGGUAGUC
RNAcentral lists this ribosomal RNA (443 nucleotides) under uncultured bacterium. RNAcentral's name for it is "partial 16S ribosomal RNA". It matches the Rfam family "Bacterial small subunit ribosomal RNA", at positions 338 to 795 of the family's 1533-position model. The record is from RNAcentral.